UACGAAGGGGGCUAGCGUUGCUCGGAAUCACUGGGCGUAAAGGGUGCGUAGGCGGGUCUUUAAGUCAGGGGUGAAGUCCUGGAGCUCAACUCCAGAACUGCCUUUGAUACUGAGGAUCUUGAGUUCGGGAGAGGUGAGUGGAACUGCGAGUGUAGAGGUGAAAUUCGUAGAUAUUCGGAAGAACACCAGUGGCGAAGGCGGCUCACUGGACUGGUAUUGACGCUGAGGUGCGAAAGCGUGGGGAGCAAACAGG
This 253-nucleotide ribosomal RNA is filed under the name uncultured bacterium. RNAcentral describes it as "partial 16S ribosomal RNA". It matches the Rfam family "Bacterial small subunit ribosomal RNA", at positions 524 to 776 of the family's 1533-position model. The record is from RNAcentral.